CCCGAAUGCACCGACUGAUGCAGGCGGCCCGGUACCUGCAGGUGCCAUGCCUCCUUCUUAACCAAGGCCACUCUAUCUCCCCGUGAAGUACCCAGGCAGAAGGCCGGUGGGGUUACAGGAGUGUCUCUCUCAGAUGAGACACAAGAUGGUCCCUUCCCUUGCGUCCCUCCUGUUCCUUCAAGAGGAGGACUGUCUACCCACCCUGAAGCUUCAUGGAGAGAGAGCACACCGUCGGUAUUCAAUAUGUAGUUUUGAAUUGAAUUAACUAGAGUGAAGAAGAAAGCAAAUUCAGAGUCUUGCUCUGUCGCCUAGGAUGAAGUACAGUUGCACGAUCUUGG
Rhinopithecus roxellana (golden snub-nosed monkey) is the source of this 338-nucleotide long non-coding RNA. RefSeq lists it as uncharacterized. The transcript has 3 exons. The record is from RefSeq and is a predicted model, not a curated record. Lineage: Eukaryota; Metazoa; Chordata; Mammalia; Primates; Cercopithecidae.